CCAGGCUCAUGGGAGGCAUGACAUAUAAAAAGAGAACAGAUAUAUUUAUUCACCUCCGUUACUUCCCAGAGACUCCAAGCAAAGCUGUCAGCAAAUGCCAAUCAACUGCUAAAUGGAAACAGUGCACACUAUGAAAAAAACUACAGUAAAGUAGGAUGCAGAAGCCUGGGCACUGCAAUGUCUAAAAAACUGAUGACCCUUGUGCAAAUGGGCAAGUUAGAACAGGAUCUGGCUGGAGAAGGAGGCUGUGCAGAGGCUGAAUCCUUUGAUCCGACAUCUCCUUCGAAUCUGCUCCAAUGCCUGCUGUAAUAUGAAAGUUGAGAGCACUGUUUUUCUAGAAGUGACGUGGUUUCUGUUCCCUUUGAAGCUGUCCAUUGAAAUUCUGAUGUCAACACGGAACUGCAGAGAGGAAAAUCAUAUUAGACUUUUCUUGGGGCACAGAGUGAAUUGACAUAAAUAUGAGUUAUCUGUUAAUAUUGUUGUUAUCGCUGCCUGGCCUGAUGACUGUGACUCCUAUCUCCAAUGCUGGACAUUAUAUUCCAUCAACAGAGUUAUGUUUUACCCCUUUGGACAAUAGAAGUUGUUGC
This 587-nucleotide long non-coding RNA is filed under the name Manacus vitellinus (golden-collared manakin). RNAcentral's name for it is "lncRNA (ENSMVIG00005001580.1)". The record is from RNAcentral. Lineage: Eukaryota; Metazoa; Chordata; Aves; Passeriformes; Pipridae.